This 604-nucleotide ribosomal RNA is filed under the name uncultured bacterium. RNAcentral describes it as "bacterial SSU rRNA". It matches the Rfam family "Bacterial small subunit ribosomal RNA", at positions 278 to 882 of the family's 1533-position model. The record is from RNAcentral.
GAUCAGUAGGGGUUCUGAGAGGAAGGUCCCCCACAUUGGAACUGAGACACGGUCCAAACUCCUACGGGAGGCAGCAGUGAGGAAUAUUGGUCAAUGGGCGAGAGCCUGAACCAGCCAAGUAGCGUGCAGGAUGACGGCCCUAUGGGUUGUAAACUGCUUUUAUAAGGGAAUAAAGUGAGCCUCGUGAGGCUUUUUGCAUGUACCUUAUGAAUAAGGACCGGCUAAUUCCGUGCCAGCAGCCGCGGUAAUACGGAAGGUCCGGGCGUUAUCCGGAUUUAUUGGGUUUAAAGGGAGCGUAGGCCGGAGAUUAAGCGUGUUGUGAAAUGUAGAUGCUCAACAUCUGCACUGCAGCGCGAACUGGUUUCCUUGAGUACGCACAAAGUGGGCGGAAUUCGUGGUGUAGCGGUGAAAUGCUUAGAUAUCACGAAGAACUCCGAUUGCGAAGGCAGCUCACUGGAGCGCAACUGACGCUGAAGCUCGAAAGUGCGGGUAUCGAACAGGAUUAGAUACCCUGGUAGUCCGCACGGUAAACGAUGGAUGCCCGCUGUUGGUCUGAAUAGGUCAGCGGCCAAGCGAAAGCAUUAAGCAUCCCACCUGGGGAGUA